This 429-nucleotide ribosomal RNA is filed under the name Chloroflexota bacterium. RNAcentral's name for it is "Chloroflexi bacterium partial 16S ribosomal RNA". It matches the Rfam family "Bacterial small subunit ribosomal RNA", at positions 355 to 776 of the family's 1533-position model. Lineage: Bacteria; Bacillati; Chloroflexota. The record is from RNAcentral.
UGGGGAAUAUUGCACAAUGGGCGCAAGCCUGAUGCAGCCAUGCCGCGUGUAUGAAGAAGGCCUUCGGGUUGUAAAGUACUUUCAGCGGGGAGGAAGGGAGUAAAGUUAAUACCUUUGCUCAUUGACGUUACCCGCAGAAGAAGCACCGGCUAACUCCGUGCCAGCAGCCGCGGUAAUACGGAGGGUGCAAGCGUUAAUCGGAAUUACUGGGCGUAAAGCGCACGCAGGCGGUUUGUUAAGUCAGAUGUGAAAUCCCCGGGCUCAACCUGGGAAUUGCAUCUGAUACUGGCAAGCUUGAGUCUCGUAGAGGGGGGUAGAAUUCCAGGUGUAGCGGUGAAAUGCGUAGAGAUCUGGAGGAAUACCGGUGGCGAAGGCGGCCCCCUGGACGAAGACUGACGCUCAGGUGCGAAAGCGUGGGGAGCAAACAGG